UACGUAGGGCGCAAGCGUUGUCCGGAAUUAUUGGGCGUAAAGAGCUCGUAGGCGGUUUGUCGCGUCUGCUGUGAAAACCUAAGGCUCAACCUUGGGCUUGCAGUGGGUACGGGCAGACUAGAGUGCGGUAGGGGGUGACUGGAAUUCCUGGUGUAGCGGUGGAAUGCGCAGAUAUCAGGAGGAACACCGAUGGCGAAGGCAGGUCACUGGGCCGCAACUGACGCUGAGGAGCGAAAGCAUGGGGGAGCGAACAGG
This 255-nucleotide ribosomal RNA is filed under the name uncultured bacterium. RNAcentral's name for it is "partial 16S ribosomal RNA". It matches the Rfam family "Bacterial small subunit ribosomal RNA", at positions 524 to 776 of the family's 1533-position model. The record is from RNAcentral.